UGCGGCUGAUUGGGGCUUAUAGUUUUCCAAAAGAUCAAAUAAGCUGUGUCUGCCAACACAAUUCAAGGUAUUCAAGAUACCCUCCAUCAGGCUGAGAGGUUUCUAGUUCAGCAGGUGUCUGUUCUCCUCACACAGAUGAAAGGCCUUCCAGUACUGCAUACACUAUUGUACCAGCCGCCUGCAACACAAAAUGUUCCACCAUUAACAUUACAAAAGGUAUGACACUGAUUGUUUAUGUUUCUUCAAUGAAAAAGCAAAGAUAGUUUUCCAUGUAGUAUUAUAAGAGACAGAGAAAAUGCAAUGACCUGAAUAAAUGUAAAUUUGCAAAGUACCAUUAAAGUAUUUGUAAAAGCUUAAAUUUUAAAACCUAAGCAUGAAAUUCAUGUUGGUUUUUUUCACAAAAGAUCCUUGACUUCCUGAAGUUAAAUCAGUAAUGGUCUAUCCAAAUCUUUUUUUGAAAAAAAGUGUUGCAGUUGUGUAAUUAAAGUGAACUAAAUUGUGAUUUAAUUCUGCCAAACUGGCAGCAACAAUGUGAGGCCAUCAUUUAGUUUAUAAAACCUGAAAGGUCAAAACACUUGUACAUGUAUAAAACUAUUACUGUAAUCCAGAGGUAUUAUAAGCUUAAAUGAAACUUUAAGUGACAGAUGGAGGUGUUGUGACUCACCUGUGGUCCGGAGGUAAAUGCACGGGUAGCUGCUGGGAGUGUUCUGAGAGUACCAGUUGGUGUAGCUGAAGCGGCUCUGGUCCACCCACCUCCAGGUCUGCACACAUGAACACACAGUAAAUUAAACCUGCCGCAGACAUCUGUCUGUCCAUAGACAUCACAGUGUAGUCCAACUAUGUUUUUUCUGUCACCUGUUACACACACUUUGAUUAAUAUAUUUAUAUUUUGUAUUAUUUAUGUAUGAUAAGCUAAUGACCUGGAAGUAGUAUCCUCCUAUCCAGGCGGUCUGGCCUCCUGCACGGCUGGUGAGCGACUGGAGGAAAGUGUAUUCAAACAAAUCACUGGCAGACGCCAGGGAAGAUCCUUGACCGGCACAGUAGGACUGAGAGAGACACACACACACACACACACACACACACACACACACACACA
Molecule: long non-coding RNA, 1096 nt
Organism: Labrus mixtus (cuckoo wrasse)
Lineage: Eukaryota; Metazoa; Chordata; Actinopteri; Labriformes; Labridae
Exons: 2
Source: RefSeq, a predicted model, not a curated record